RNAcentral lists this ribosomal RNA (2937 nucleotides) under Pantoea agglomerans. RNAcentral describes it as "23S ribosomal RNA". It matches the Rfam family "Bacterial large subunit ribosomal RNA". The record is from RNAcentral. Lineage: Bacteria; Pseudomonadati; Pseudomonadota; Gammaproteobacteria; Enterobacterales; Erwiniaceae.
GGGUUGUGAGGUUAAGCGACUAAGCGUACACGGUGGAUGCCCAGGCAGUCAGAGGCGAUGAAGGACGUGCUAAUCUGCGUAAAGCGACGGUAAGGUGAUAUGAACCGCUACAGCCGUCGAUGUCCGAAUGGGGAAACCCGGUGCACUCUGUGCAUCAUUGCAGCAUGAAUACAUAGUGCUGCAAGGCGAACCGGGGGAACUGAAACAUCUAAGUACCCCGAGGAAAAGAAAUCAACCGAGAUUCCCCCAGUAGCGGCGAGCGAACGGGGAGCAGCCCAGAGCCUGAAUCAGCUUGUGUGUUAGUGGAAGCGUCUGGAAAGUCGCAGGGUACAGGGUGAUACUCCCGUACACAAAAACACACAUGCUGUGAGCUCGAUGAGUAAGGCGGGACACGUGGUAUCCUGUCUGAAUAUGGGGGGACCAUCCUCCAAGGCUAAAUACUCCUGACUGACCGAUAGUGAACCAGUACCGUGAGGGAAAGGCGAAAAGAACCCCGGCGAGGGGAGUGAAACAGAACCUGAAACCGUGUACGUACAAGCAGUGGGAGCCUUGAUUUAUCAGGGUGACUGCGUACCUUUUGUAUAAUGGGUCAGCGACUUAUAUUCUGUAGCAAGGUUAACCGUAUAGGGGAGCCGCAGGGAAACCGAGUCUUAACUGGGCGUUAAGUUGCAGGGUAUAGACCCGAAACCCGGUGAUCUAGCCAUGGGCAGGUUGAAGGUUGGGUAACACUAACUGGAGGACCGAACCGACUAAUGUUGAAAAAUUAGCGGAUGACCUGUGGCUGGGGGUGAAAGGCCAAUCAAACCGGGAGAUAGCUGGUUCUCCCCGAAAGCUAUUUAGGUAGCGCCUCGUGAACUCAUCUUCGGGGGUAGAGCACUGUUUCGGCUAGGGGGCCAUCCCGGCUUACCAACCCGAUGCAAACUGCGAAUACCGAAGAAUGUUAUCACGGGAGACACACGGCGGGUGCUAACGUCCGUCGUGAAGAGGGAAACAACCCAGACCGCCAGCUAAGGUCCCAAAGUCAUGGUUAAGUGGGAAACGAUGUGGGAAGGCACAGACAGCCAGGAUGUUGGCUUAGAAGCAGCCAUCAUUUAAAGAAAGCGUAAUAGCUCACUGGUCGAGUCGGCCUGCGCGGAAGAUGUAACGGGGCUAAACCAUGCACCGAAGCUGCGGCAGCGACGCUUAGGCGUUGUUGGGUAGGGGAGCGUUCUGUAAGCCGUCGAAGGUGUGCUGUGAGGCAUGCUGGAGGUAUCAGAAGUGCGAAUGCUGACAUAAGUAACGAUAAAGCGGGUGAAAAGCCCGCUCGCCGGAAGACCAAGGGUUCCUGUUCAACGUUAAUCGGAGCAGGGUGAGUCGACCCCUAAGGCGAGGCCGAAAGGCGUAGUCGAUGGGAAACAGGUUAAUAUUCCUGUACUCGGUGUUACUGCGAAGGGGGGACGGAGAAGGCUAUAUCAGCCGGGCGACGGUUGUCCCGGUUUAAGCGUGUAGGCGGAGGGUCCAGGUAAAUCCGGUCCCUUAUUAACGCUGAGGCGUGACGACGAGGCACUACGGUGCUGAAGUGAUAAAUGCCCAGCUUCCAGGAAAAGCCUCUAAGCAUCAGGUAACACAGAAUCGUACCCCAAACCGACACAGGUGGUCAGGUAGAGAAUACCAAGGCGCUUGAGAGAACUCGGGUGAAGGAACUAGGCAAAAUGGUGCCGUAACUUCGGGAGAAGGCACGCUGGCGCGUAGGUGGAGGGACUUGCUCCCCGAGCCGAAGCCAGUCGAAGAUACCAGCUGGCUGCAACUGUUUAUUAAAAACACAGCACUGUGCAAACACGAAAGUGGACGUAUACGGUGUGACGCCUGCCCGGUGCCGGAAGGUUAAUUGAUGGGGUUAUCCGCAAGGAGAAGCUCUUGAUCGAAGCCCCGGUAAACGGCGGCCGUAACUAUAACGGUCCUAAGGUAGCGAAAUUCCUUGUCGGGUAAGUUCCGACCUGCACGAAUGGCGUAAUGAUGGCCAGGCUGUCUCCACCCGAGACUCAGUGAAAUUGAACUCGCUGUGAAGAUGCAGUGUACCCGCGGCAAGACGGAAAGACCCCGUGAACCUUUACUACAGCUUGACACUGAACAUUGAGCCUUGAUGUGUAGGAUAGGUGGGAGGCUUUGAAGCGCGGACGCCAGUCUGCGUGGAGCCAACCUUGAAAUACCACCCUUUAAUGUUUGAUGUUCUAACGUAGGCCCGUAAUCCGGGCUGCGGACAGUGUCUGGUGGGUAGUUUGACUGGGGCGGUCUCCUCCUAAAGAGUAACGGAGGAGCACGAAGGUCAGCUAAUCACGGUCGGACAUCGUGAGGUUAGUGCAAUGGCAUAAGCUGGCUUGACUGCGAGAGUGACGGCUCGAGCAGGUGCGAAAGCAGGUCAUAGUGAUCCGGUGGUUCUGAAUGGAAGGGCCAUCGCUCAACGGAUAAAAGGUACUCCGGGGAUAACAGGCUGAUACCGCCCAAGAGUUCAUAUCGACGGCGGUGUUUGGCACCUCGAUGUCGGCUCAUCACAUCCUGGGGCUGAAGUAGGUCCCAAGGGUACGGCUGUUCGCCGUUUAAAGUGGUACGCGAGCUGGGUUUAGAACGUCGUGAGACAGUUCGGUCCCUAUCUGCCGUGGGCGCUGGAGAAUUGAGGGGGGUUGCUCCUAGUACGAGAGGACCGGAGUGAACGCACCACUGGUGUUCGGGUUGUCAUGCCAAUGGCAUUGCCCGGUAGCUAAGUGCGGAAAAGAUAAGUGCUGAAAGCAUCUAAGCACGAAACUUGCCCCGAGAUGAGUUCUCCCUGACUCCUUGAGAGUCCUGAAGGGACGUUGAAGACUACGACGUUGAUAGGCCGGGUGUGUAAGCGCAGCGAUGCGUUGAGCUAACCGGUACUAAUGACCCGUGAGGCUUAACCUUACAACGCCAGAGGCGUUU